AUGACGUGUGCGGGAGAGCCCCGGCAUCCGCUUCUCGCGAAGCGAUGACGGGCACCGAAGGAGCAAGCCUCCCCGCCAAUCUCUCAGGUCCGCGUACCGUGCUCGUCCG
RNAcentral lists this non-coding RNA (109 nucleotides) under Microbacterium sp. RNAcentral's name for it is "Glycine sequence". It matches the Rfam family "Glycine riboswitch aptamer". Rfam says of the family: This family represents the bacterial glycine riboswitch. Glycine riboswitches usually consist of two metabolite-binding aptamers domains with similar structures in tandem. The record is from RNAcentral. Lineage: Bacteria; Bacillati; Actinomycetota; Actinomycetes; Micrococcales; Microbacteriaceae. RNAcentral also lists the same sequence under 1 other name.